RNAcentral lists this ribosomal RNA (378 nucleotides) under uncultured bacterium. RNAcentral's name for it is "bacterial SSU rRNA". It matches the Rfam family "Bacterial small subunit ribosomal RNA", at positions 521 to 896 of the family's 1533-position model. The record is from RNAcentral.
UAAUACGUAGGGUGCGAGCGUUGUCCGGAAUUAUUGGGCGUAAAGAGCUCGUAGGCGGCCUGUCACGUCGGAUGUGAAAACCCGGGGCUCAACCCCGGGCCUGCAUCCGAUACGGGCAGGCUAGAGUGUGGUAGGGGAGAUCGGAAUUCCUGGUGUAGCGGUGAAAUGCGCAGAUAUCAGGAGGAACACCGGUGGCGAAGGCGGAUCUCUGGGCCAUUACUGACGCUGAGGAGCGAAAGCGUGGGGAGCGAACAGGAUUAGAUACCCUGGUAGUCCACGCCGUAAACGGUGGGCACUAGGUGUGGGCGACAUUCCACGUCGUCUGCGCCGCAGCUAACGCAUUAAGUGCCCCGCCUGGGGAGUACGGCCGCAAGGCUA